This 178-nucleotide microRNA precursor is filed under the name Oryza rufipogon (brownbeard rice). RNAcentral's name for it is "MIR812 microRNA precursor family". It matches the Rfam family "MIR812 microRNA precursor family". Lineage: Eukaryota; Viridiplantae; Streptophyta; Magnoliopsida; Poales; Poaceae. The record is from Rfam by way of RNAcentral.
AAUAAGUGCAGUUUAACAGUUCGUCUUAUUUGGAAAAAUUUUAUGAUUAGUAUUUUUAUUAUUAUUAUUAGUUGGUAAAACAUGAAUAGUAGUUUAUGUGUGACUAUUUUUUUAUAUUUUUUUUCAAAUAAGACAGAUGGUUAAACGUUAAAUAUGGAUACCCACGACUAUAUUUAUU